AGCAUGUAGAAUCACAACUCUUGUUUCAUGAAGUUUGUUAAGUAAUUUAAACAAAGGUAAAUUUAUAUCAGGAAUCAUGUGAGGAUACUUAAGACCAGCCGGUACUUUCAAGUUUUCUCCUGCCCAGAUCUGUUUGGAAGAAAUCUAGUCUUAUCUGCCUCAAAAGUCCAGCAGAAAAAAAUAGCUGAAAUAAAUGAAGCCUGUGAUUACUUGGUUCUGUGUUUACCUAGACAUUCUGGCAUUUGGCUCAAAAGACAAAGCUUGUUAGAUGUGCUAUUUGAACCUGGUUUUGCUAUAGAUUUUAAAUUGGAAGAAAAAAAUGGUAACAGAGUAAAGCUCUCUAAAUCAUACACAUUUGGGCUGACUACCAAGCUAGUCUCACCCAGCAGUACUAAUAGAAUGUGGAAAAUGCUUUCCAGGGUUGAGGUCUGCCACCUAGCAACCGCUUUGAAAUACCCCCUGCACUGACCCAAGGCUACUCAAAAUGCCCAGUUUUGAAAUUGGUGGGAUAUUUUGCUGUGUAUGGGUCACAGUCAUUGAAAGAAGGAUUAGAACUGUUUUUCAGGCCAAAGACGUGCAGAUUAGAAGGACUGUUUAAUUUAACUGCUCAACUGGUUUGGAAAUAGAACUGGCAGAUUAAAUACAGAUGAAAGGUAAUUACAUCGGAUAUACGCUGGAAAAAAUCACUUGUUUUUCUGAAAUUGAAAUUGAACUAAGCAUCCCGUUUUUUAAAAGUUAAAACUGGCAAUCCUAUUUUGGAGAGACGUUUUUAGUACAGGGGAGAGGGCUUCUUGUCUCUGGCCUGGGGUCAUUGUCACUGAUAUUUGUCUUGCUGCUUCUGCUGCCGAGUGUCUUUGGCUCAGUUAUUCUUGAACCACACCAGAACUUGUGCUCAACUCAGGAUAUGUUCCUGACCCUUCCUUCUUGAAGGGACAGCUGUGUAACCAUUCAACCAUCUGGCCAUCAGUUUCCACAUCUGUGAAAUCAACUUCU
Rhinopithecus roxellana (golden snub-nosed monkey) is the source of this 993-nucleotide long non-coding RNA. RefSeq lists it as uncharacterized. The transcript has 3 exons. Lineage: Eukaryota; Metazoa; Chordata; Mammalia; Primates; Cercopithecidae. The record is from RefSeq and is a predicted model, not a curated record.